GGGGGUGUAGCUCAAUUGGUUAGAGCGCUGGCCUGUCACGCCAGAGGUCGCGAGUUCGAGUCUCGUCACUCCCGCCA
RNAcentral lists this transfer RNA (77 nucleotides) under Verrucomicrobiota bacterium. Its description in RNAcentral is "Verrucomicrobia bacterium (hydrothermal vent metagenome) tRNA-Asp". It matches the Rfam family "tRNA". Rfam says of the family: Transfer RNA (tRNA) molecules are approximately 80 nucleotides in length. Their secondary structure includes four short double-helical elements and three loops (D, anti-codon, and T loops). Lineage: Bacteria; Pseudomonadati; Verrucomicrobiota. RNAcentral also lists the same sequence under 1 other name. The record is from RNAcentral.